This 467-nucleotide ribosomal RNA is filed under the name uncultured Cytophaga sp. RNAcentral describes it as "bacterial SSU rRNA". It matches the Rfam family "Bacterial small subunit ribosomal RNA", at positions 417 to 900 of the family's 1533-position model. The record is from RNAcentral. Lineage: Bacteria; Pseudomonadati; Bacteroidota; Cytophagia; Cytophagales; Cytophagaceae.
UUCGGGUUGUAAAGCUCUUUCGCACGCGACGAUGAUGACGGUAGCGUGAGAAGAAGCCCCGGCUAACUUCGUGCCAGCAGCCGCGGUAAUACGAAGGGGGCUAGCGUUGUUCGGAAUUACUGGGCGUAAAGGGCGCGUAGGCGGUGCAUCAAGUCAGGCGUGAAAGCCCCGGGCUCAACCUGGGAACCGCGCUUGAGACUGGUGCGCUAGAGUUCGGGAGAGGAUGGUGGAAUUCCCAGUGUAGAGGUGAAAUUCGUAGAUAUUGGGAAGAACACCAAUGGCGAAGGCAGCCAUCUGGACCGACACUGACGCUGAUGCGCGAAAGCGUGGGGAGCAAACAGGAUUAGAUACCCUGGUAGUCCACGCCGUAAACUAUGAGUGCUAGACGUCAGGGCCAUCGAGGGCUUCGGUGUCGCAACUAACGCAUUAAGCACUCAACCUGGGGAGUACGGCCGCAUGGUUAAAAC